GCCGGCGUGGCGAAAUCGGUAAACGCGGAGAUCCGACAAGUCUAUGGACGCAAGUCCUUCUGGGUUCGAGUCCCAGCGCCGGCA
RNAcentral lists this transfer RNA (84 nucleotides) under Gemmatimonadota bacterium. RNAcentral describes it as "tRNA-Val". It matches the Rfam family "tRNA". From Rfam's summary of the family: Transfer RNA (tRNA) molecules are approximately 80 nucleotides in length. Their secondary structure includes four short double-helical elements and three loops (D, anti-codon, and T loops). The record is from RNAcentral. Lineage: Bacteria; Pseudomonadati; Gemmatimonadota.